UACGGGGGGAGCAAGCGUUGUUCGGAUUUACUGGGCGGAAAGGGCGCGUAGGCGGCGCAACAAGUCACUUGUGAAAUCUCCGGGCUUAACCCGGAGCGGCCAAGUGAUACUGUCGUGCUAGAGUGCGGAAGGGGCUACUGGAAUUCUCGGUGUAGCGGUGAAAUGCGUAGAUAUCGAGAGGAACACCUGCGGCGAAGGCGGGUAGCUGGGCCGACACUGACGCUGAGGCGCGAAAGCCAGGGGAGCGAACGGG
Molecule: ribosomal RNA, 253 nt
Filed under: uncultured bacterium
Lineage: Bacteria
Description: partial 16S ribosomal RNA
Rfam family: Bacterial small subunit ribosomal RNA
Source: RNAcentral